RNAcentral lists this ribosomal RNA (1287 nucleotides) under Verhoeffiella sp. V_long_CA178. Its description in RNAcentral is "SSU rRNA". It matches the Rfam family "Eukaryotic small subunit ribosomal RNA", at positions 52 to 1340 of the family's 1831-position model. Lineage: Eukaryota; Metazoa; Arthropoda; Collembola; Entomobryomorpha; Entomobryidae. The record is from RNAcentral.
UGCAUGUCUAAGUUCAAGCGAAAAUAAAGUGAAACCGCGAAUGGCUCAUUACAUCAGUUAUGGUUCCUUAGAUCGCACUUACUACUUGGAUAACUGUGGUAAUUCUAGAGCUAAUACAUGCGCUGGGCCCCAACCCUCGUGGAAGGGGCGCUUUUAUUAGAUCAAAGCCAAUCGGGCCUUCGGGCUCGUUUAAUUGGUGACUCUGAAUAACUUUGCUGAUCGCAUGGUCUCGUACCGGCGACGUAUCUUUCAAGUGUCUGCCUUAUCAACUGUCGAUGGUAGGUUAUGCGCCUACCAUGGUUGUAACGGGUAACGGGGAAUCAGGGUUCGAUUCCGGAGAGGGAGCCUGAGAAACGGCUACCACAUCCAAGGAAGGCAGCAGGCGCGCAAAUUACCCACUCCCGGCACGGGGAGGUAGUGACGAAAAAUAACGAUGCUAAACUCAUACGAGGCUUAGCAAUCGGAAUGAGUACACUUUAAAUCCUUUAACGAGGAUCUAUUGGAGGGCAAGUCUGGUGCCAGCAGCCGCGGUAAUUCCAGCUCCAAUAGCGUAUGUUCAAGUUGCUGCGGUUAAAAAGCUCGUAGUUGGAUCUCGGUUUCGGGAGGGCGGUGCGCCCAGCGGCGUCUACUGUCCACCCGGACGAUUUUGUUGGUUCGUUCAUGGUGCUCUUCAUCGGGUGCCUUGAGUGGCCAGCACGUUUACUUUGAAAAAAUUGGAGUGCUCAAAGCAGGCGCUACAGCCUGAACAAUUGUGCAUGGAAUAAUGGAAUAGGACCUCGGUUCUAUUUCGUUGGCUUUCGGAGUCGAGGUAAUGAUUAAUAGGGACAGACGGGGGCAUUCGUACUGCGACGUUAGAGGUGAAAUUCUUGGAUCGUCGCAAGACGAACUACUGCGAAAGCAUUUGCCAAGAAUGUUUUCAUUAAUCAAGAACGAAAGUUAGAGGUUCGAAGGCGAUCAGAUACCGCCCUAGUUCUAACCAUAAACGAUGUCGACUGGCGAUCCGUCCCCGUUAACUGAAUGACUGGACGGGCAGCCUCCGGGAAACCAAAGUCUUUGGAUUCUGGGGGAAGUAUGGUUGCAAAGCUGAAACUUAAAGGAAUUGACGGAAGGGCACCACCAGGAGUGGAGCCUGCGGCUUAAUUUGACUCAACACGGGAAAACUCACCAGGCCCGGACACCGGAAGGAUUGACAGAUUGAGAGCUCUUUCUUGAUUCGGUGGGUGGUGGUGCAUGGCCGUUCUUAGUUGGUGGAGCGAUUUGUCUGGUUAAUUCCGAUAACGAACGAGA